CCUACGGGAGGCAGCAGUGGGGAAUAUUGGGCAAUGGAGGAAACUCUGACCCAGCAACGCCGCGUGAAUGAUGAAGGUCUUCGGAUUGUACAGUUCUUUUCUAAGGGAAGAAGAAAGUGACGGUACCUUAGGAAUAAGCCUCGGCUAACUACGUGCCAGCAGCCGCGGUAAUACGUAGGAGGCGAGCGUUAUCCGGAAUGACUGGGCGUAAGGGGUGCGUAGGUGGUUUGGCAAGUUAGUAGCGUAACUCCAAGGCUCAACCUUGGAACUACUACUAAAACUGUUGGACUUGAGUGCAGGAGGGGCAACCGGAAUUCCUAGUGUAGCGGUGGAAUGCGUAGAUAUUAGGAGGAACACCAGUGGCGAAGGUGGGUUGCUAGACUGUAACUGACACUGAGGCACGAAAGCGUGGGGAGCAAACAGGAUUAGAUACCCCUGUAGUC
RNAcentral lists this ribosomal RNA (443 nucleotides) under uncultured bacterium. Its description in RNAcentral is "partial 16S ribosomal RNA". It matches the Rfam family "Bacterial small subunit ribosomal RNA", at positions 338 to 795 of the family's 1533-position model. The record is from RNAcentral.